RNAcentral lists this ribosomal RNA (497 nucleotides) under uncultured bacterium. RNAcentral's name for it is "partial 16S ribosomal RNA". It matches the Rfam family "Bacterial small subunit ribosomal RNA", at positions 28 to 507 of the family's 1533-position model. The record is from RNAcentral.
GAUGAACGCUGGCGGCGUGCCUAAUACAUGCAAGUCGAGCGAACAGACGAGGAGCUUGCUCCUCUGACGUUAGCGGCGGACGGGUGAGUAACACGUGGAUAACCUACCUAUAAGACUGGGAUAACUUCGGGAAACCGGAGCUAAUACCGGAUAAUAUAUUGAACCGCAUGGUUCAAUAGUGAAAGACGGUUUUGCUGUCACUUAUAGAUGGAUCCGCGCCGCAUUAGCUAGUUGGUAAGGUAACGGCUUACCAAGGCAUCGAUGCGUAGCCGACCUGAGAGGGUGAUCGGCCACACUGGAACUGAGACACGGUCCAGACUCCUACGGGAGGCAGCAGUAGGGAAUCUUCCGCAAUGGGCGAAAGCUUGACGGAGCAACGCCGCGUGAGUGAUGAAGGUCUUCGGAUCGUAAAACUCUGUUAUUAGGGAAGAACAAAUGUGUAAGUAACUAUGCACGUCUUGACGGUACCUAAUCAGAAAGCCACGGCUAACUACGUA